RNAcentral lists this ribosomal RNA (465 nucleotides) under uncultured Klebsiella sp. RNAcentral's name for it is "bacterial SSU rRNA". It matches the Rfam family "Bacterial small subunit ribosomal RNA", at positions 338 to 795 of the family's 1533-position model. The record is from RNAcentral. Lineage: Bacteria; Pseudomonadati; Pseudomonadota; Gammaproteobacteria; Enterobacterales; Enterobacteriaceae.
CCUACGGGGGGCUGCAGUAGGGAAUCUUCCGCAAUGGACGAAAGUCUGACGGAGCAACGCCGCGUGUGUGAAGAAGGCCUUCGGGUUGUAAAGCACUUUCAGCGGGGAGGAAGGCGUUAAGGUUAAUAACCUUGUCGAUUGACGUUACCCGCAGAAGAAGCACCGGCUAACUCCGUGCCAGCAGCCGCGGUAAUACGGAGGGUGCAAGCGUUAAUCGGAAUUACUGGGCGUAAAGCGCACGCAGGCGGUCUGUCAAGUCGGAUGUGAAAUCCCCGGGCUCAACCUGGGAACUGCAUUCGAAACUGGCAGGCUAGAGUCUUGUAGAGGGGGGUAGAAUUCCAGGUGUAGCGGUGAAAUGCGUAGAGAUCUGGAGGAAUACCGGUGGCGAAGGCGGCCCCCUGGACAAAGACUGACGCUCAGGUGCGAAAGCGUGGGGAGCAAACAGGAUUAGAUACCCCAGUAGUC